Molecule: ribosomal RNA, 247 nt
Filed under: uncultured bacterium
Lineage: Bacteria
Description: partial 16S ribosomal RNA
Rfam family: Bacterial small subunit ribosomal RNA
Source: RNAcentral
GAUCCUGGCUCAGGAUGAACGCUGGCGGCGUGCUUAACACAUGCAAGUCGAACGAUGAUGCCCACUUGUGGGUGGAUUAGUGGCGAACGGGUGAGUAACACGUGAGUAACCUGCCCUUAACUCUGGGAUAAGCCUGGGAAACUGGGUCUAAUACCGGAUAUGACUGACCGUCGCAUGGUGGUUGGUGGAAAGCUUUUUGUGGUUUUGGAUGGACUCGCGGCCUAUCAGCUUGUUGGUGAGGUAAUGG